RNAcentral lists this long non-coding RNA (659 nucleotides) under Canis lupus familiaris (dog). Its description in RNAcentral is "lncRNA (ENSCAFG00000058705.1, ENSCAFG00845006233.1)". Lineage: Eukaryota; Metazoa; Chordata; Mammalia; Carnivora; Canidae. The record is from RNAcentral.
CCCAUCCUACUGUAUUUGAACUUUCCAUGAAAACAAUAGCCUGUGGUGAAACAGCUUGUCAUGGAUACUAAUGAAAAAUUGCCCGAGACAUCCUGAUGCGUUUCCUCCUGCAUUCAUUCUGCCCUUAAGGUCUGGGAAUUCACUGAACACAAAAAAUCUUAUUUUGCAGAACACAGGGAGAUUAACGUAAAUUCUGAAGUUCCCUGGUUUCCUUCGGGACACACCCAGAAAGAUUUAUCACCUUGACAAACGGACUGUCUCAAAUUAUUUUGGGUACAUUUUGGAGCAAGUAUAAAGGACCUAACAAUCUUCCUUAAUUGUAAAAGUCUUCAGAACUACUAACGCCUCUUGUGGAACUUGUGUACACCCAGCAACAAAGCAAUCUUCAACUCAAAAGAGAAACAAAAUUUUAAAGGAUGGGUGUGGAACUUUUGAAACUCAAAAGGAGGAAACAUCUCUUCUUCAUCCAGCCUAAGAAUCUGUACAGAAACGAACCUUUUGCCAUUUCCUUGUUUGGAAAAAGACAAAAUAAUAAAAGAAGAAAAAACAAAAAAUGUAAUUGAUAUUUUCUGCCACCAGAACUCUAUAAGGCUACUGAAUCCAACUGGAUCCCAUGAAACCAAGAAAAUGUAAUUAAAGGUCAUUACAAUGAACUGGGA